RNAcentral lists this non-coding RNA (247 nucleotides) under Corchorus capsularis. Its description in RNAcentral is "Bacterial small subunit ribosomal RNA". It matches the Rfam family "Bacterial small subunit ribosomal RNA", at positions 274 to 537 of the family's 1533-position model. Lineage: Eukaryota; Viridiplantae; Streptophyta; Magnoliopsida; Malvales; Malvaceae. The record is from Rfam by way of RNAcentral.
UAACGAUGAGAUGCCUACAACUAAUAAGAAAAGGUAGGGGGGAGACACGGCCCAGAAUCCCACGAGGGGCAGCAGCGGGGAAUCUUGGACAAUGGGUGAAAGCCCGAUCCAACAAUAUCGCGUGAGUGAAGAAGGGAAAAAUGCCGCUUGUAAAGCUCUUUCGUCGAGUGCGUGAUCAUGACAGGACUCGAGGAAGAAGCCCCGGCUAACUCCGUGCCAGCAGUCGCGGUAAGAGGGGGGGGGGCAA